UACGUAGGGGGCGAGCGUUGUCCGGAAUUACUGGGCGUAAAGGGUGCGUAGGCGGUUUUGUAAGUUGGAUGUGAAAUCCCCGGGCUUAACUUGGGGGCUGCAUUCAAAACUGCGAGACUUGAGUAUCGGAGAGGGAAGCGGAAUUCCGAGUGUAGCGGUGAAAUGCUUAGAUAUUCGGAAGAACACCUGAGGCGAAGGCGGCUUUCUGGACGACAACUGACGCUGAGGCACGAAAGCGUAGGGAG
RNAcentral lists this ribosomal RNA (245 nucleotides) under uncultured Eubacteriales bacterium. RNAcentral describes it as "uncultured Clostridiales bacterium partial 16S ribosomal RNA". It matches the Rfam family "Bacterial small subunit ribosomal RNA", at positions 524 to 768 of the family's 1533-position model. Lineage: Bacteria; Bacillati; Bacillota; Clostridia; Eubacteriales. The record is from RNAcentral.